Molecule: ribosomal RNA, 434 nt
Filed under: uncultured bacterium
Lineage: Bacteria
Description: partial 16S ribosomal RNA
Rfam family: Bacterial small subunit ribosomal RNA
Source: RNAcentral
AGCGAACGCUGGCGGCAGGCCUAACACAUGCAAGUCGAACGAACCUUUCGGGGUUAGUGGCGGACGGGUGAGUAACACGUGGGAACGUGCCUUUAGGUUCGGAAUAACUCAGGGAAACUUGUGCUAAUACCGAAUGUGCCCUUCGGGGGAAAGAUCUAUCGCCUUUAGAGCGGCCCGCGUCUGAUUAGCUAGUUGGUUGAGGUAAUGGCUCACCAAGGCGACGAUCAGUAGCUGGUCUGAGAGGAUGAUCAGCCACAUUGGGACUGAGACACGGCCCAAACUCCUACGGGAGGCAGCAGUGGGGAAUCUUGCGCAAUGGGCGAAAGCCUGACGCAGCCAUGCCGCGUGAAUGAUGAAGGUCUUAGCAUUGUAAAAUUCUUUCACCGGGGACGAUAAUGACGGUACCCGGAGAAGAAGCCCCGGCUAACUUCGUG